UUAAUGGCAAUUAUUAUCAAAAUGCGUUUUCCCCUACUCUCACUUUUUCUCCGUCUUUGCGUUUCAGUUUUUCAAACCGCUUUCCCUUUCAUUCCUAUUAUCAAAACGCGUUCUCCGUCCUUCUCUCAGGCCGCCGCCGCCCCUGUCUGCCAUCUCUCAUCGCCUCCCUUCCAUGGAAUUUAUCAUGUUUUGGUGUAUGCGGUUUUUUUAUUCUGAUCGCUCUUCAAUUUCUUAGGGUUCUAACCUCUAAUCGCACUUCAUCCGCUUCAUUUCAAGGAUGUGAUUAGGAGCUCUAAUUCUCAGAACGUGAAAAUGUUGGACCCAGCGAGGCUUUGGAUUCUGAGCAAAAAACUUUCAUUAGAGCAGUCAGGAAAUCUCGCGGCUGGACCAAACCGAUUCAGAGGUGAAACUUCAUUUUUAUACAGAUUACCCAUGGUUGAAUUACGAGUAUUGGGUUCCAAUACUCAGUUACGAAUGGAAGGCCGAUACAGAUUCCAUGGUAGUUUUUCGUCUGCGACUGCAAGUUCGACUUUGUCCAACAAAUUUGCGGGAUGAGGCAGCAGUAUCACCACCCACACGGUUUCCAGCUGAGUAUGUGCAAGAAUUUCAGAAUUGUUUUCACAGACCUCCUGCAGUUCCUGUGUCUGAAUCCUCAAGUUCAUCGUGGCUGCAAGUUUGACCUCAUCGCCAUCUCAGUCAAGCGAUAUUAUUUAUCAUCUAGAGACUAAAGUACUGGGUAUUUGCCAUACCUUAGCAUUCAACUCAUCACAAGGAGGAUUGGUGAGUUGUUUUCAUAACACAACUUACUGAUUUGCAUUUUCUCUUUCACUUUUUAUAAGUUUAUUUGGUUGCUUGAUCAUUGCUUGACUCUUUUAUUCAGUGUCAGAGAUUACCUUUGUUGUCGCUGCUAUUUUGAUGGUCUAAAAUUACACUUUUUGCCCCAAAGUGAGGGUGCCUUCUUUCUUUGCAUAUUGAUAUUAAUCUGAUUUAGUUUUGUGGUAUGCCAUUCGCAAGGUAAUUCUUGAACUGAGUUCAAAUCCAAAACAUUACUCAAUCAUUCAUUGGCUUCAGGUAUUCCUUGGUUUUGUUAAUCUGAUGCUAACUUCCUUUUGUAUUAAUCAGGAGAAAAUUGAAGAACUUUGUUUAUGCGCAAUAGCAGGGAGUAAAAGAGUUUUCAUGUAUGUUAAGUGCACUGUCAUGUACUAUACUUUCAUGUAGAAGCUUCCAUCCCACUUUCAGGAGAGCAACUAAAGAGUGAACAGGAAGUGAACUAUCAGCAGGAGAAAAUAAAGCAGAGAAUGAAAAAGUGACGAAGCAAUUGCUUCAUUUUUGGAGAUCAUUGGAAGUUCUUUGGAAGAACUUUCAUUCAAGGGAAAACCAUAAAGUUGCAGGUUAACACGUUUCAGGGGUUGAUGCUGAUAUAAACUCCAGGUGGUUCAAGUGGUUGUCUUCCUCUUCAAGUUUUCUAACAUUGAUUGUCAUUCUCAAAUGCUCCAUUAGAAUCUCCAAUUGACAAUGUCUUCAUGGGUAUAUCUUGAUUCAAUAUUUAUGAAGGCUUUAUCUUCAAGUAUGAGAUAUAAAAGAUAAAAGUCUUUAGCCAAUCAACAUGCCUCUGUGUAGAUUGUUCCUUUCCUCGCCAGCAAUGACAGCUGAUGUCAUUCUCUUGAAGAUUAUUAGAACAAGAGACUUCAGGGUCAGUGAAGCUCUCAAUAUCCUUCUCAAGUGUUUAGUGCUGACAGCAUGGCACCAUCGUGGAAGAAGAUUUUGGAGUUCAAUGAGCUUCAAGGAAGGUUAUGUAAAACUAAUGUUAAUUUAAUAAAGUGUUAAGUUAGUAUUUGCCAGUUUUCGUUUUUAUUUAAAAUAGGACCGGAUGGAGAACAUGUUCGACAGUUUUUUACUAUUUAUUUGUAUAUAUUAGAAUGUAGCCAAGUUUGAUAGUAACAUGUAGUUGUUUUAUCUUUUCUCAAAUUUGUAAUGACAAUUGUUUUGUUUUGUAAAAUGUGAUAUCAUGGAAGCAUGACUGUGAAGCAUGUUAUCUUGGUUAAAUAA
Long non-coding RNA from Lotus japonicus, 2049 nucleotides. RefSeq lists it as uncharacterized. NCBI's taxonomy places the organism in Eukaryota, Viridiplantae, Streptophyta, Magnoliopsida, Fabales, Fabaceae. The record is from RefSeq and is a predicted model, not a curated record. The transcript is spliced from 11 exons.